CCUGUUCCCAUUCCGAACACAGAAGUUAAGCUCUUGAGCGGCGAUGGUACUUGGGGGGCGACCCCCUGGGAGAGUAGCACGUAGCCACGU
RNAcentral lists this ribosomal RNA (90 nucleotides) under Terrisporobacter othiniensis. The record is from RNAcentral. Lineage: Bacteria; Bacillati; Bacillota; Clostridia; Peptostreptococcales; Peptostreptococcaceae.